UCAAAAUGAUGAUGAUUAAAUGUCUGAUCUGAAAUCAGUUAUGUGGAUUAAUCUUGCUGAAAAA
Heteronotia binoei (common prickly gecko) is the source of this 64-nucleotide small nucleolar RNA. The record is from RefSeq and is a predicted model, not a curated record. NCBI's taxonomy places the organism in Eukaryota, Metazoa, Chordata, Lepidosauria, Squamata, Gekkonidae.